This is a long non-coding RNA of Myotis lucifugus (little brown bat), 572 nucleotides long. RefSeq lists it as uncharacterized. The record is from RefSeq and is a predicted model, not a curated record. The transcript has 3 exons. Lineage: Eukaryota; Metazoa; Chordata; Mammalia; Chiroptera; Vespertilionidae.
GAUGCAACUUCAUGAGGUGAGACAAAGAAGAACUACUGGGAAAAGAAAAAACACCAGUGAACUGAACAGCUAUUGGAAUUUCUAGAGGGCUGGAAGGUGAUUUCGUUGCAACCAACCAGAAUGGAGGUGUUUCCUGUUGGUGCAGAAAGAUGGAUCACAACGGGGUCUGAGCUAAGCAAUCAGUGCAGGGGAUCAAGAAUGGGGUAGUGAGCUAUAAAAGAACUUUGUCAUUUCAUGAAUUCUGGAAACUCAAAAGGCCCACCUGAUGAUGGCCCUGCCCUUGAAGCAGCAACAUUGCCCCCAAGGUCCUGGAUGGCAGCCACAUUCCUGAGUCCCUGGGGAGCAGCAGCUUGGCCUGCUGAAACUGAGGAGUUGGCCCUGCUUUCUAGAACUGAAGAGGAGGCAGCCUUGCUUUCUGGAUUAUUCUCCCCACUUCUUGAAGGAUAAUGUAUGUUCACAGCCAAUAGCUCUAUUGUCUUGUUCUGUAGCAUUCCAGAAGUUCAACAAUUUUACUUCAUUUCAACUCUUCUCUGUUCCUUUCAGUUCAAGCUGGUAACAUUUCUGCUGAUUUG